UACGUAGGGCGCAAGCGUUGUCCGGAAUUAUUGGGCGUAAAGAGCUCGUAGGCGGUUUGUCGCGUCUGCUGUGAAAACCUAAGGCUCAACCUUGGGCUUGCAGUGGGUACGGGCAGACUAGAGUGCGGUAGGGGUGACUGGAAUCCUGGUGUAGCGGCGGAAUGCGCAGAUAUCAGGAGGAACACCGAUGGCGAAGGCAGGUCACUGGGCCGCAACUGACGCUGGAGGAGCGGAAAGCAUGGGAGCGAACAGG
This 253-nucleotide ribosomal RNA is filed under the name uncultured bacterium. Its description in RNAcentral is "partial 16S ribosomal RNA". It matches the Rfam family "Bacterial small subunit ribosomal RNA", at positions 524 to 776 of the family's 1533-position model. The record is from RNAcentral.